Molecule: ribosomal RNA, 274 nt
Filed under: uncultured bacterium
Lineage: Bacteria
Description: partial 16S ribosomal RNA
Rfam family: Bacterial small subunit ribosomal RNA
Source: RNAcentral
AUACGGAGGGUGCAAGCGUUAUUCGGAAUCACUGGGCGUAAAGGACGCGUAGGCGGGUUGGCAAGUCAGAUGUGAAAUCCUACAGCUUAACUGUAGAACUGCAUUUGAAACUGCUAACCUAGAGUAUGGGAGGGGGAGAUGGAAUUAGUGGUGUAGGGGUAAAAUCCGUAGAUAUCACUAGGAAUACCGAAAGCGAAGGCGAUCUCCUGGAACAUAACUGACGCUAAGGCGUGUAAGCGUGGGGAGCAAACAGGAUUAGAAACCCUAGUAGUCC